GUGUAGGUGGUAAAUUAAGUCGAUUGUGAAAUCCCUUGGCUUAACCAAGGAACUGCAUUCGAAACUGAUUUGCUUGAGUGAUAGAGAGGUAAGUGGAAUUCCCGGUGUAACAGUGAAAUGUGUAGAUAUCGGGAGGAACACCAGUGGCGAAGGCGACUUACUGGCUAUCAACUGACACUGAAACGCGAGAGCUAGGGGAGCAAACAGGAUUAGAUACCCUGGUAGUCCUAGCCGUAAACGAUGUUCACUAGGUGUCGGGCCUCUGGGUUCGGUGCCGCCGUU
Molecule: ribosomal RNA, 282 nt
Filed under: uncultured bacterium
Lineage: Bacteria
Description: partial 16S ribosomal RNA
Rfam family: Bacterial small subunit ribosomal RNA
Source: RNAcentral